RNAcentral lists this long non-coding RNA (453 nucleotides) under Homo sapiens (human). RNAcentral's name for it is "non-protein coding lnc-RPRD1A-2:2". Lineage: Eukaryota; Metazoa; Chordata; Mammalia; Primates; Hominidae. The record is from RNAcentral.
AGGCCCGGUGGUCCAGGAUCCAGUGCUGCUCCCCAUGUGCCCAUCUCACAUGCUGCUCGGCACCAGCAGCCAUCACCACUCCACUUCUCUCAAGAGACAGAGUCUUGCUCUAUCCCCCAGGUGGGAGUGCAGUGGCAUGAUCUUGGCUCACUGCAACCUCCCCCUCCUGGGUUCAAGUGGUUCUCCUGCCUCAGCCUCUCGAGCAUCUGGGAUUACAGAUGGAGGAAGGAGGUCCCAAGCCAAGGAAUGCAGCAUGGGCCUCUAGAAGCUGGAAUGACCCUCACCUCACGGCCAGCAAGAAAUCAGGGAACUCAGUCUUACCCGAGUGAGCAGGAAAUCGAUUCUCCUCUGCAGCCUCUAUAGAGAACACAGCCUGUCAACACCCUGAUUUUGGCCCAAUGAGCCCUGUACCUCCAGAAGUGUAACGUAAUAAAUUUGUGUUGUUUUAAGCUA